This 263-nucleotide ribosomal RNA is filed under the name uncultured bacterium. RNAcentral's name for it is "partial 16S ribosomal RNA". It matches the Rfam family "Bacterial small subunit ribosomal RNA", at positions 793 to 1055 of the family's 1533-position model. The record is from RNAcentral.
GUCCAUGCCGUAAACGUUGGGCACUAGGUGUGGGACUCAUUCCACGAGUUCCGUGCCGUAGCUAACGCAUUAAGUGCCCCGCCUGGGGAGUACGGCCGCAAGGCUAAAAACUCAAAGGAAUUGACGGGGGCCCGCACAAGCGGCGGAGCAUGCGGAUUAAUUCGAUGCAACGCGAAGAACCUUACCAAGGCUUGACAUACACUGGAAACCCCCAGAGAUGGGGGCCUCUUCGGACUGGUGUACAGGUGGUGCAUGGUUGUCGU